GCUUACGGCCACACCACCCUGAGCACGCCCGCUCUCGUCUGAUCUCGGAAGCCAAGCAGGGUCGGGCCUGGUUAGUUCUUGGAUGGGAGACCGCCUGGGAAUACCAGGUGCUGUAAGCAU
Molecule: ribosomal RNA, 120 nt
Filed under: Misgurnus anguillicaudatus (oriental weatherfish)
Lineage: Eukaryota; Metazoa; Chordata; Actinopteri; Cypriniformes; Cobitidae
Source: RNAcentral